RNAcentral lists this transfer RNA (68 nucleotides) under Mesocricetus auratus (golden hamster). It matches the Rfam family "tRNA". From Rfam's summary of the family: Transfer RNA (tRNA) molecules are approximately 80 nucleotides in length. Their secondary structure includes four short double-helical elements and three loops (D, anti-codon, and T loops). The record is from Rfam by way of RNAcentral. Lineage: Eukaryota; Metazoa; Chordata; Mammalia; Rodentia; Cricetidae.
AGAUGUGGCUUAGUUGAUAAAGUACUUGCCUGGCAUGCAAGAAACCCUUGGUUCUAUCCCUAGUAUUU